GUUUAGAACUGUUAACCA
This 18-nucleotide unclassified non-coding RNA is filed under the name Dictyostelium discoideum. Lineage: Eukaryota; Evosea; Eumycetozoa; Dictyosteliales; Dictyosteliaceae. The record is from RNAcentral.